UCCAGUGGCCUAGUGGUUAGAGCAUCUGCCUCGGAUGCAGUAUGUCGAGGGUUCAAACCCUGGCCGUAUCAU
Molecule: non-coding RNA, 72 nt
Organism: Potamilus streckersoni
Lineage: Eukaryota; Metazoa; Mollusca; Bivalvia; Unionida; Unionidae
Source: the annotation of a GenBank genome assembly